This 254-nucleotide ribosomal RNA is filed under the name uncultured bacterium. Its description in RNAcentral is "partial 16S ribosomal RNA". It matches the Rfam family "Bacterial small subunit ribosomal RNA", at positions 524 to 776 of the family's 1533-position model. The record is from RNAcentral.
UACAGAGGGUGCGAGCGUUGUCCGGAAUCACUGGGCGUAAAGGGCGCGUAGGUGGCCCGACAAGUCUGUGGUGAAAGCUCGACGCUCAACGUCGAGUCGGCCAUAGAUACUGUUGGGCUGGAGCACUGUAGAGGCUCAUGGAAUUCCUGGUGUAGCGGUGGAAUGCGCAGAUAUCAGGAGGAACACCGGUGGCGAAGGCGGGUCUCUGGGCUGUAACUGACGCUGGAGGAGCGAAAGCGUGGGUAGCGAACAGG